This 750-nucleotide ribosomal RNA is filed under the name uncultured bacterium. RNAcentral describes it as "bacterial SSU rRNA". It matches the Rfam family "Bacterial small subunit ribosomal RNA", at positions 28 to 776 of the family's 1533-position model. The record is from RNAcentral.
AUUGAACGCUGGCGGCAGGCUUAACACAUGCAAGUCGAACGAUGAAGAUAUAGCUUGCUAUAUCGGAUUAGUGGCGGACGGGUGAGUAACACUUAGGAAUCUACCUUUUAGCGGGGGAUAGCUCGGGGAAACUCGAAUUAAUACCGCAUAAUUUCUACGGAAUAAAGAGGGCUUUUAGCUCUCACUAGAAGAUGAGCCUAAGUAAGAUUAGCUAGUUGGUGGGGUAAAAGCCUACCAAGGCGACGAUCUUUAGCUGGUCUGAGGGGAUGAUCAGCCACACUGGGACUGAGACACGGCCCAGACUCCUACGGGAGGCAGCAGUGGGGAAUAUUGGACAAUGGGGGCAACCCUGAUCCAGCCAUGCCGCGUGUGUGAAGAAGGCCUUUUGGUUGUAAAGCACUUUAAGCAGUGAAGAAGACCUAUUGGUUAAUACCCAAUAGUGAUGACAUUAACUGCAGAAUAAGCACCGGCUAACUCUGUGCCAGCAGCCGCGGUAAUACAGAGGGUGCAAGCGUUAAUCGGAAUUACUGGGCGUAAAGCGAGCGUAGGUGGUUAAAUAAGUCAGAUGUGAAAGCCCUGGGCUCAACCUAGGAACGGCAUCUGAAACUAUUUAACUAGAGUAGGUGAGAGGGAAGUAGAAUUUCAGGUGUAGCGGUGAAAUGCGUAGAGAUCUGAAGGAAUACCGAUGGCGAAGGCAGCUUCCUGGCAUCAUAUUGACACUGAGGCUCGAAAGCGUGGGUAGCAAACAGG